Molecule: long non-coding RNA, 394 nt
Filed under: Physcomitrium patens
Lineage: Eukaryota; Viridiplantae; Streptophyta; Bryopsida; Funariales; Funariaceae
Description: long non-coding RNA (PPAT_LNC008112)
Source: RNAcentral
AGUCUAUUUUUUCAAUAAAAAGAUGCUAUUUAGAGCUACAAAUAAAAAUAAGAGAAUUACAAGAUUAACCAUUGUAUAUAUGUAGCAUUUAUCUAAGCAACUUUCUAUGAAAUUAAAUUACAAAAACUACAUAGACACCUCUAGAUUUUCUUAGUUCCAUCAAUCUAGAGCUUCAUAUUAUCAGACUCUAUAGAUACCUAAGAUGUAAUCCGGCUCUUUUUUUCUUCAACAAUAAAAUUAUUACAAAAAUUCUUUAGCUUAAAAUAAUUUAGCUCAGAUCUUUUAUUUCAAAAAUUCAAUAAGAAAAAACCAAAACCACUUUUAAUACAUACAAACCAUGAUUUUGACCUUAGGCAUAAAACUAAAAAUUUAAAGAAAAUAUAGCACAAAGCUC